GAUGAACGCUGGCGGCGUGCUUAACACAUGCAAGUCGAACGAAGCACCCUCAUCCGUGGAAGGGAGUAGCUUGCUACGAACGGACACACCCGAGGUUGACUGANNUGCGGACGGGUGAAUUACGCGUGGGCAAACUGCCCCAUAGAGGGGGGACACCAGUAGAAAUGACUGCCUAUACCGGAUANUUAAGCAGAUCCGCAUGCUUCUGCUUUGAAAGCCUUGGCCCUAUGGGAUGGGGCCGGUUUUGAUAACUAAUUGGUGAGGUUAACGGCCCACCAGGGCACAAACUAAUACCCGGUUUAAAAAAUUGAAAGGCCCAUUUUGGAAUGGAAAAAGGGCCCAAUUCCCUACGGGAAGGGCCCAUGGGGGAAAAUUGGCCAAUGGGGGGAAACCCUAUUUACCAAACCCCCCUUUGAUUAAAAAAAAUUUUCCGGUAUUUUUAACCCCUCCCCCCCCGGAAAAAAAUUGACGGGCCCCCCCUAUUAAAAACCCCCGCUUAUUUAAU
This 505-nucleotide ribosomal RNA is filed under the name uncultured bacterium. RNAcentral describes it as "partial 16S ribosomal RNA". The stretch from base 18 to 404 matches the Rfam family "Bacterial small subunit ribosomal RNA", at positions 45 to 394 of the family's 1533-position model. The record is from RNAcentral.